UAUUGAUCUGAUUGUUAAGGCUACAGCCUGUUGCUGACUUUUGUCAACGACGCACCGACAAAUGAUUUAUGUCAUUUGACAGGAUUGGUACCUCCUUUUUUCUUUACCUUGCUAUAUUUGACAUGGACUCUUAACAUCUAUUCCCUCCGUUCUUAAAUAUAAGUAUUUUUGGAGACUUCACUGGGUGACUACAUACGGAGCAAAAUGAGUGAGUACACUUUAAAAUAUGUCUAUAUACAUCCAUAUGUAGUUUUUUAGUGGAACAUCUAAAAAGACUUAUAUUUAGGAACUUAGGUAGUAAUUGUCCUGAUCCCUUCUUUAUUGCUGAUGAUGGCAACAUCGUGGCAUUGAGUUGCAUUUGUUUCAUAGGACCAAACUGUUCAGCAGAAUGCCUAAUGCUAUUUGUUUUUCAAUGAUGUGAAAUCUGACAUUGAGUCGUCGACCGUAGUCGCUGUUUCACACGGCUUUGCUGCUUGUCUUUCUCACUUUAGCACGGUCACAUACAUAAAUCCUGCACAGGGAGUACUCAGGCUGGCUGACAAAAACAACGCCUCUGGAGUGAUCUGAUUCAUCAAACUGGCAGCCUCCCUCAGCAAACAGGGAACUCCUGCAUCCGUUCAGUUCAUGUCCAGAGACCAAGGCCUCCAAAUUCAGCCGGCACAGCCUCUGUUGAAUUGCUAAUAGGACCAUUCCUGUAUGUAUUCUGCAAUUCACUGUUCUUGAAUUAUCUCAGUAAUGGACUGAGUCAAUGCCAACAGGAAGAAUGACGAGGUGGAAUCCAGGGCACGGCUGGAAAAUCUCGUGUCCCUUCUGUCCGGCCGUCCAUCCUUGUCAGAUGGUAAAUAAGAGGUCUAUGUGCUUGAACUUGAGGUGUUUAUUUACAUGUCUAAAUCAUAGAGUGCUCAACUGUAUCUUUUAAUUAACAUGUCCAAAUCAAAGCCUUGACCCAUUCUUGUCUGGAUUGCACUCAGGCUGUUAUGAUUCUUUUCAGGAAAUUAUGUACAGCUGAUUACUUGGAUUGGUCGCCAUUUCAGAGAUGAUAAGCGGGAGGGUUAGACAAUUAUGGGUUUCAAUACCUCAGGAGAGUGGCCAUUGUCACUGCCAUCUCCCUUAUAUUCUACUAUACAGACAAAAUAUUUCUUGAACCGCAAUUUUCUUAUGACAGUUUUGCCUAUAAUGUGGCUGUCCUCCCGUUACAUCCUCGGUUAGAAAUGGGGUCUAUCACCCGAGACCCUUCUUGAACAUGACAACGACGCUCCAUGAAGCCUGGCUACUGCAAUGUUGUCAUGUUCACCGCAUAUCAUCACACACUUCGUCCAGAGUUAAUUGCACAAAACCACCAUAUUGUCGCAUAGGGUUGCAGAAAACACUUUGAUACAUAUUCGUUGCAAAAAACACAGGAAGUGUGUCUAUUUUUUUUCCCAAAAAGCACUGAUCCGUCUGUUGGAGCAUUUUAAGCACGAUUAUGACAUGUA
Molecule: long non-coding RNA, 1475 nt
Filed under: Hordeum vulgare
Lineage: Eukaryota; Viridiplantae; Streptophyta; Magnoliopsida; Poales; Poaceae
Description: long non-coding RNA (HVUL_LNC007529)
Source: RNAcentral